UCUUCAUCUUUAUAAUAUACUCCUGCAGG
This 29-nucleotide non-coding RNA is filed under the name Rattus norvegicus (Norway rat). Lineage: Eukaryota; Metazoa; Chordata; Mammalia; Rodentia; Muridae. The record is from RNAcentral.